UACAGAGGUCUCAAGCGUUGUUCGGAUUCAUUGGGCGUAAAGGGUGCGUAGGCGGUGAAGUAAGCUGGAUGUGAAAUCCCGGGGCUUAACCCCGGAACUGCAUUCAAUACUGCUUUGCUAGAGUACUGGAGAGGAGAUUGGAAUUCACGGUGUAGCAGUGGAAUGCGUAGAUAUCGUGAGGAAGACCAGUGGCGAAGGCGAAUCUCUGGACAGUAACUGACGCUGAGGCACGAAGGCUAGGGGAGCAAACGGG
This 253-nucleotide ribosomal RNA is filed under the name uncultured bacterium. RNAcentral's name for it is "partial 16S ribosomal RNA". It matches the Rfam family "Bacterial small subunit ribosomal RNA", at positions 524 to 776 of the family's 1533-position model. The record is from RNAcentral.